UCGGGAAUUUUGGGCAAUGGGCGAAAGCCUGACCCAGCAACGCCGCGUGAAGGAUGAAGUAUUUCGGUAUGUAAACUUCGAAAGAAUAGGAAGAAUAAAUGACGGUACUAUUUAUAAGGUCCGGCUAACUACGUGCCAGCAGCCGCGGUAAUACGUAGGGACCAAGCGUUGUUCGGAUUUACUGGGCGUAAAGGGCGCGUAGGCGGCAAUUCAAGUCAUCUGUGAAAUCUCCGGGCUUAACUCGGAACGGUCAGAUGAUACUGCUUUGCUAGAGUGCAGAAGGGGCAAUCGGAAUUCUUGGUGUAGCGGUGAAAUGCGUAGAUAUCAAGAGGAACACCUGAGGUGAAGACGGGUUGCUGGGCUGACACUGACGCUGAGGUGCGAAAGCGUGGGGAGCAAACAGGAUUAGAUACCCGAGUAGUCCCUGAGCGGGCUGGCAAGGCGCAU
Molecule: ribosomal RNA, 447 nt
Filed under: uncultured bacterium
Lineage: Bacteria
Description: bacterial SSU rRNA
Rfam family: Bacterial small subunit ribosomal RNA
Source: RNAcentral